UUUCAUAUAUUUUAUAUUUAGAAUUUAAUAUUGAAGAUAUUAAGGGGGAUUUUAUUCUAUGAAUA
Molecule: transfer RNA, 65 nt
Filed under: Megalophasma granulatum
Lineage: Eukaryota; Metazoa; Arthropoda; Insecta; Phasmatodea; Lonchodidae
Description: tRNA-Phe
Source: RNAcentral